Molecule: transfer RNA, 76 nt
Filed under: Pseudomonadota bacterium
Lineage: Bacteria; Pseudomonadati; Pseudomonadota
Also listed under: 1 other name
Description: tRNA-Ala
Rfam family: tRNA
About the family: Transfer RNA (tRNA) molecules are approximately 80 nucleotides in length. Their secondary structure includes four short double-helical elements and three loops (D, anti-codon, and T loops).
Source: RNAcentral
GGGGGUGUAGCUCAGUUGGCAGAGCGCUUCCUUUGCACGGAAGAAGUCAGGAGUUCGAAUCUCCUCACCUCCACCA